Nycticebus coucang (slow loris) is the source of this 3663-nucleotide long non-coding RNA. RefSeq lists it as uncharacterized. The transcript has 2 exons. Lineage: Eukaryota; Metazoa; Chordata; Mammalia; Primates; Lorisidae. The record is from RefSeq and is a predicted model, not a curated record.
UUCUGGCAGCGCGAGAGGGGCAUGUCUCACUUGAGAUUUGUCUGCCUCCUACCCCCCCUGCCUCGGUGAAAUAGUUGACCACAUCAGCAGCCGACUCCGGCUCGUCAUGUGGUUUCUCAUGUGAUGCUGGGUCUGCAGCACUUUGGAGCACGAGCCUUUGUGACUCGGCACUCAUGGACAGACAGUGGCGUUCAGGGACAGGAGAGGUUUUGAGGGGGUGGGGAGACCGAUAAACCGAGAAACGUCAGAAAUAAAAGUCGCAUGAAGUACUCUGAUCUCUGUAUUCCUUUUUUUUUUUUUUUAAAUUUGAUUUUAACUCUUGUUUUUCUUUUUAUGGUUUGUGUGUAUUUUUUGCACCCCCACAGGCGCCGAGCUGCGCUGUUUUGUAUUUUUUUCCCUUUUCUUUUCUUUUUUUCUUUCUUCUUCUUUUUUAAAUUCUGAAGCCAGACCGUCCUUCCUCACAGCUCCGGGGCUGCAUCGCUGUGGGCACCUCCGGCUACCCCGGCUACCUGAGCUGCUCCUGCCGUCCUCGCCCCGGCUUCACCCAGGUGCACCCGAUCCAGAAUCAGGCGACAGCGCCGGGCAGAAGAAGGACCUGCUGGCGGAGCGCUGGGCGAGGGGACGUGGAGGACUGAGUGAAGCCACUGAAGACCUGGGGUGGGACAGCUAGAGAGGAUGCCAAGGACCGGGACAGGGGCAGUUAGGAAUACUACACGUCCGGUGCCCACCGACGCUCCGCCGUGCAAGGGCUGCAGCCGCCCCUCCCGCGAGCCCCCAGCUUCGGCUGUGCCCAGGGAUUAGUCCGGGGGACAACCCUUGGCGCGAUGUGGUGGCAUCUCUCCUCAGAGUGGAGCUGAAGAUGGAUAAACAAGGGUUCCAGAGGAGCGAACCAAUGGAGGAAGACUGGCAUGGGAGCAAGCUGGGUGUUUGAAGAGCCCCAGGCUAAUCGCAGAGCAUCCAGGCCCUGGGACCCCCAUCUGCUGCUUAGAGCCGCUCGGAACAGGAGCCCCGGCAUCUCACAUCUAGAUAACUGCCUGUAAGCUGACGGAACUCCAAACUGGCGAUGACACAGUCACUUGUGGAGAGCCGUGUUGUCCCCAAAGAACUGGACAGCUGCCCUUGCACCCCUGACGAUGGAUGAGAAGCAGCAAGGGCAGCAGGUGGCCGGGCAGGCCAGGGGGUCAUGGCCGCGAAUGCAGCGAGCGGGCCCUGCUGGGGCUGAGGGCCGGGUAGGGCUCCGCACACCUCGGCCCGCAACCCCCUCCUCUGCCUCCUGCAGCCUCGCCCCUUGGACUCCCAGAUGGAAUCUGGGUUUGCCGCCCAUCCGGUGGUGAAGGCAGCAGGUCUUCACAUUCUAAGCUGCAGAUCCGAGGAGCUGCUGGUGUAAUGUUUAGUCAACGCUGCAUAACGCUUCAUCAACGAAUGCCCACAUACACGACAGAGGUCCCGUAAGAUUAUAGCCGAGCUGAAAAAUUCCUGUCGCCUAGCCACCUCCUAGCGGUCAUAGUGUUGUAAUGCAACACAUUGCUCAAGUGGCGGUGGUGUAAACAAACCCACCGCGCUGCCAGCCCUCCCCGAGUCUAGCGCAUAAUACUUGCUAGUGCUAAGAAACCACUGUUUAUGUAUUUACUACUGUUCUUUUAGAGUGUACUCCUACUUACAAAAAGUGUUAACUGUAAAACAGCCUCGGGUAGGUCUUUUGGGAGGUAUUUCAGAUGAGUGCAUUGUUACCACAGGAGACGACCGCUCCAUGAGUGUGGUGGGUCCUGAAGACCUUCAGGUGGACACGUGGGGAGGGUAGAAGACAGUGAUAUUGGGGAUCCUGACCCUCCGUAGGCCCAAGCUAAUAAUGUCUGUGUUUGUGUCUUAGCUUUUAACAAAAAUGUAUAAAAAGAAAAUAAAUAAAUAAUAGGUAAGGGCAAAGUACCUUACAGAAUAAGGAUAUUGAGAAAGAAAACAUUUUGUACAGUUGUAAAAUGUGUUUGUGUUUUAAGGUAUGUUAAUUCAAAAAGUCAAAAAGUUUAAACAAAUUAAAAAGUUAUAGUAAGCUAAGGUAAACUUAUUAUUGAAGAAAAAAAUUUUAAAUACAUUUUGUGUAGCAUAAGUGUUCACUGUUUAUAAAGUCUACAGUGGCCUAAAGCAAUUCCCUAUGGUUCCAUUCACUCCCACUCACUGGCUGACUCACCCAGAACGAUUUGCUGCUAUCAUGUGGUCUUAGUUAUAUGUAUGCAUUGUAUUUAUGAACUAUGUAUGAGACAUAGUGAUAAGCCUUUUCUUGACCUUAGUAAGCAGCUCUGACACGUAACUCUUUCUCUUCCUAUUUACAGACAAGAAUAUAAAGAGGCAGAAUAAUUAUGCAACUUGUCCAAAGUCACAGAUCCCUGCUGUUGCCCAUUAUAAUACAUUUGUUUUCUCCACUUUCCAUUUUCAUGUAACACAGAAAUUCUAUUAAUAUCAUCAUCCAUCCCCUAUUUGGCUAUUGCAGGAAUGGGGACUUGCCACCUCAAGAAGUAGUUUAUACUAGAAAAACAUUUAAUGGGUAUUUAAUCAUUACUCAUUUAAUUAAUUAGGCUCCAGUAGAAUUUUUUUCCAGUUGCUUUUACUUUUAUCUUAGGGAACUAAAUGAAUAGAAAAUAUCCAAAUAGGUCUUGUUACAGACAGUAGAAACCAUCUUCUAAUUUUUAUCUUUCCCAAUCUAAAAAUAAGUUAGUGUUUCAGCAAUUCCUUUAGUAACACGCAGAUUUUCAUCAUCUUGGUUACCUUUCUGUGGGACGGCCAUUACUCUUUUGCAUGAAACAAGAAGCUACAAUGAAACAUGGGAAUGUUGAUGCUAGAUUUGCAAGCAAUGAUAGUGGCUGUUCAAAGGAUGUAUCUCAGAACAUGAGAAUACUUGCUAUUCCAGGAAAUCUGGUUCCUGCCUUUCUCUUGUCUGAAUUGUUAUAUUAAUGAAUUUGCAAUAUUUUGGCUGAAGAACCAAUUCUGUUGUCUUUAAGGAGGGAACAGUGUCUGUCCCUAAUAUUUUUGUGGAAUUGUAGCCUAAAGUCACCACCAUCACCCCAAAGACUUAAAAAACAUAAAAGUUGAGUAAUGGGUUUCUCUGGCCUGCUUUGGUAAAUUUAUGUGCUCACAUAGCACAUUAAUUGCUUAGGUUUAACUCAAGACAAAUACUUGAAUGUUUAUUUUGACACUUGUAUUUGUGAAAUUUCAAAGCUGAUCUCAACCUUAAAAAACCAACUUCUCGGCAUCUCCUCCAGAUAGCAAAUGCAUAGCAAAUACUAUUGACUUCAAUUGUUCUAUAAAAUGUCAACUCAGCUUUUCUUUCACUCAUAGGAGCUAUUAAAAGAUUUUAUUUAAAAACCCUAAACUUGGUAAUGAAUGCUAAAUUCUUCUCUUACCAUUAGGUAGGUCACUUCCUAGCAGUCACAUUUUAAAAGAAUCUGCCAUUGAAAAAGUCUAUGUAUUUGUCUUGUACUAUGUAACAAGUAGGUCAGCGUAAAAACGUUCUAACAUAAUUAUACUGAUAAAGAAUACCUUGUUGUAAAUGAGCUGUGUUUGGAAAAUGGAAGUUAUUAAUCUGUAUUUCCUAGCACUGAGUCUAGUACAAUGUGUAUCUUAGUCCUAUGCAGAUUUGCAUGACAGAAAUAAAGCUCAGAAAAUCCACAA